GGUGUUCAAGUUCCACUUCCAUGUUCCUCAUCUCCACAUACUCCCUCAUCAUCACCACCACCACCACCAUGAUGUUCCUAAAGGCUGUGUAGCGAUUAUGGUGGGACACGAAGACGAUGAAGAAGGUCUACAUAGAUUUGUUGUUCCGUUGGUGUUCUUGAGCCAUCCUUUGUUCUU
This 177-nucleotide small RNA is filed under the name Arabidopsis thaliana (thale cress). RNAcentral's name for it is "ATSL297830". Lineage: Eukaryota; Viridiplantae; Streptophyta; Magnoliopsida; Brassicales; Brassicaceae. The record is from RNAcentral.